Molecule: ribosomal RNA, 1465 nt
Filed under: uncultured cyanobacterium
Lineage: Bacteria; Bacillati; Cyanobacteriota
Description: bacterial SSU rRNA
Rfam family: Bacterial small subunit ribosomal RNA
Source: RNAcentral
CGAUUUGAAGAGUUUGAUCAUGGCUCAGGAUGAACGCUGGCGGUAUGCCUUAUACACGCAAGUCGUACGAGAGUUUUUAACUCAAGUGGCGGACGGGUGAGUAACACGUAAGAAUUUGCCUUUAGGAGGGGGAUAACAACUGGAAACGGUUGCUAAUACCCCAUAUGCUUUCGAGUGAAAUGGUUUUUCCGCCUAAAGAGAAGCUUGCGGCUGAUUAGCUUGUUGGUGAGGUAAUGGCUCACCAAGGCGACGAUCAGUAUCUGGUUUGAGAGGACGAUCAGAUACACUGGAACUGAGACACGGUCCGGACUCCUACGGGAGGCAGCAGUAGGGAAUUUUCCGCAAUGGGCGAAAGCCUGACGGAGCAAUACCGCGUGAGGGAUGACGGCCUAUGGGUUGUAAACCUCUUUUUUCAGGGAGGAAUAAAUGACGUGUACCUGAAGAAUAAGCAUCGGCUAACUCCGUGCCAGCAGCCGCGGUAAGACGGAGGAUGCAAGUGUUAUCCGGAAUCACUGGGCGUAAAGCGUCUGUAGGUGGUCAAAUAAGUCAACUGUUAAAUCUUGAGGCUCAACCUCAAAACCGCAGUCGAAAYUAUUAGACUAGAGUAUAGUAGGGGUAAAGGGAAUUUCCAGUGGAGCGGUGAAAUGCGUAGAUAUUGGAAGGAACACCGAUGGCGAAGGCACUUUACUGGGCUAUUACUAACACUCAGAGACGAAAGCUAGGGUAGCAAAUGGGAUUAGAUACCCCAGUAGUCCUAGCUGUAAACCAUGGAUACUAGAUGUUGAACAGAUCGACCUGUGCAGUAUCAAAGCUAACGCGUUAAGUAUCCCGCCUGGGAAGUAUGCUCGCAAGAGUAAAACUCAAAGGAAUUGACGGGGACCCGCACAAGCGGUGGAUGAUGUGGAUUAAUUCGAUGCAACGCGAAAAACCUUACCUACCCUUGACAUGUACGGAAGCCUCUCGAAAGCGAGGUGUGCCCGAAAGGGAGCCGUAACACAGGUGCUGCAUGGCUGUCGUCAGCUCGUGUCGUGAGAUGUUGGGUUAAGUCCCGCAACGAGCGCAACCCUUGUCAUUAGUUGCUACAUUUAAGGUGGGCACUCUAAUGAGACUGCCGGUGACAAACCGGAGGAAGGUGGGGAUGACGUCAAGUCCUCAUGGCCCUUAUGGGUAGGGCCUCACACGUCAUACAAUGCUGCGCACAAAGGGAAGCAAAACCGCGAGGUCGAGCAAAUCCCAGAAAACGCAGCUCAGUUCGGAUUGCAGGCUGCAACUCGCCUGCAUGAAGCUGGAAUCGCUAGUAAUCGUAGGUCAGCAUACUACGGUGAAUAUGUUCCUGAGCCUUGUACACACCGCCCGUCAAGCCACGAAAGUGGGGGGGGCUUAAAGUCGCUACGCUAACCGUAAGGAAGCAGGCGCCUAGAGUCAACUCCGCGAUUGGGACUAAGUCGUAACAAGGUAACCAAUC